RNAcentral lists this ribosomal RNA (497 nucleotides) under uncultured bacterium. RNAcentral's name for it is "partial 16S ribosomal RNA". It matches the Rfam family "Bacterial small subunit ribosomal RNA", at positions 28 to 507 of the family's 1533-position model. The record is from RNAcentral.
GAUGAACGCUGGCGGCGUGCCUAAUACAUGCAAGUCGAGCGAACAGAUGAGGAUCUUGCUCCUCUGACGUUAGCGGCGGACGGGUGAGUAACACGUGGAUAACCUACCUAUAAGACUGGGAUAACUUCGGGAAACCGGAGCUAAUACCGGAUAAUAUAUUGAACCGCAUGGUUCAAUAGUGAAAGACGGUUUUGCUGUCACUUAUAGAUGGAUCCGCGCCGCAUUAGCUAGUUGGUAAGGUAACGGCUUACCAAGGCAACGAUGCGUAGCCGACCUGAGAGGGUGAUCGGCCACACUGGAACUGAGACACGGUCCAGACUCCUACGGGAGGCAGCAGUAGGGAAUCUUCCGCAAAGGGCGAAAGCCUGACGGAGCAACGCCGCGUGAGUGAUGAAGGUCUUCGGAUCGUAAAACUCUGUUAUUAGGGAAGAACAAAUGUGUAAGUAACUAUGCACGUCUUGACGGUACCUAAUCAGAAAGCCACGGCUAACUACGUG